UGGGGAAUUUUGCACAAUGGGGGAAACCCUGAUGCAGCGACGCCGCGUGAUUUAGAAGGCCUUCGGGUUGUAAAAAUCUUUUCUAUGGGAAGAAAAUGACAGUACCAUAGGAAUAAGGACCGGCUAAUUACGUGCCAGCAGCCGCGGUAAUACGUAAGGUCCGAGCGUUGUCCGGAAUCAUUGGGCGUAAAGGGUACGUAGGCGGGUAAGCAAGUUAGAAGUGAAAUCCUAUAGCUCAACUAUAGUAAGCUUUUAAAACUGCUCAUCUUGGGGUAUGGAAGGGAAAGUGGAAUUCCUAGUGUAGCGGUGAAAUACGCAAAUAUUAGGAGGAAUACCGGUUGCGAAGGCGACUUUCUGGCCAUAACCUGACACUGAGGUACGAAAGCGUGGGUAGCAAACAGG
This 402-nucleotide ribosomal RNA is filed under the name bacterium. Its description in RNAcentral is "partial 16S ribosomal RNA". It matches the Rfam family "Bacterial small subunit ribosomal RNA", at positions 355 to 776 of the family's 1533-position model. The record is from RNAcentral.